RNAcentral lists this ribosomal RNA (465 nucleotides) under Vreelandella stevensii. Its description in RNAcentral is "partial 16S ribosomal RNA". It matches the Rfam family "Bacterial small subunit ribosomal RNA", at positions 338 to 795 of the family's 1533-position model. Lineage: Bacteria; Pseudomonadati; Pseudomonadota; Gammaproteobacteria; Oceanospirillales; Halomonadaceae. The record is from RNAcentral.
CCUACGGGUGGCAGCAGUGGGGAAUAUUGGACAAUGGGGGGAACCCUGAUCCAGCCAUGCCGCGUGUGUGAAGAAGGCCCUCGGGUGGUAAAGCACUUUCAGUGAGGAAGAACGCCUGGUGGUUAAUACCCAUCAGGAAAGACAUCACUCACAGAAGAAGCACCGGCUAACUCCGUGCCAGCAGCCGCGGUAAUACGGAGGGUGCGAGCGUUAAUCGGAAUUACUGGGCGUAAAGCGCGCGUAGGUGGCUUGAUAAGCCGGUUGUGAAAGCCCCGGGCUCAACCUGGGAACGGCAUCCGGAACUGUCAAGCUAGAGUGCAGGAGAGGAAGGUAGAAUUCCCGGUGUAGCGGUGAAAUGCGUAGAGAUCGGGAGGAAUACCAGUGGCGAAGGCGGCCUUCUGGACUGACACUGACACUGAGGUGCGAAAGCGUGGGUAGCAAACAGGAUUAGAUACCCCGGUAGUC